This 421-nucleotide ribosomal RNA is filed under the name uncultured bacterium. Its description in RNAcentral is "bacterial SSU rRNA". It matches the Rfam family "Bacterial small subunit ribosomal RNA", at positions 356 to 774 of the family's 1533-position model. The record is from RNAcentral.
GAGGAAUAUUGGGCAAUGCCCGCAAGGGUGACCCAGCAACGCCGCGUGGAGGAUGAAUGUCGUAAGAUUGUAAACUCCUGUUGGAGGGGAAGAAUAGUACCGGUUGGACCGGUAUAUGACUGUACCCUCAGAGAAAGCCCCGGCUAACUACGUGCCAGCAGCCGCGGUAAUACGUAGGGGGCAAGCGUUGUCCGGAUUUACUGGGUGUAAAGGGCGCGCAGGCGGGAUAAAAAGUCAGUGGUGAAAUCCUACAGCUUAACUGUAGAACUGCCUUUGAUACUUUUAUUCUUGAGUUCGGGAGAGAGAGACGGAAUUCCAGGUGUAGUGGUGAAAUACGUAGAUAUCUGGAAGAACACCAGUUGCGAAGGCGGUCUCUUGGUCCGACACUGACGCUGAGGCGCGAAAGCGUGGGGAGCAAACA